GCUCAGUUGGUAGAGCGGAGGACUGUA
This 27-nucleotide non-coding RNA is filed under the name Cricetulus griseus (Chinese hamster). The record is from RNAcentral. Lineage: Eukaryota; Metazoa; Chordata; Mammalia; Rodentia; Cricetidae. RNAcentral also lists the same sequence under 1 other name.